CACGCACCGAAUCACCAACGUACCUAGAACGGUGACGGUGCGCCUUGUGCAGGAAAUGCGGACGGCCGACUCUCAGGCUACCUCCCUCCCUUUCCUGCGUACCUCCUGCUCUCCCCCCUAAGCCGGCAGGUGAGCGCGCCGGUCCCUGCGGAUGCAUUCGAAUACGCGCAAGUCCAUCAUUACCACAUUCCAUUGAUCCCCGACUUCGCUGCAUACCUCUCACGUCGUAGGCAGUGUGCCAGACUGGAGUAUUCCAUCUCCGGCUGUGGUUGCUUGAUGGUGCAGAGGUAGGCUAGGGGUCGGUGCGCAUGCGCUGAGUUGCAAUGGGCUGAUUGCGGGAAAGCAGCUGUGCAUGGGCAUUCUCGUGCAUGGCCAAGCGUCGCGUGGCCUCAUGCUCCCGCGGCUCCAGACGGAUUACGCCAGCUGCCAAUGGCACCUAAUGAGCACCGAAGACCGGGGGAAAGGAGAACGUCCUACUGCGCACAUGGAGAUUGUUAGUGUGGAUGGCCCAAUCACCAUGCUGCUGAGGGAGGAGGUGCAGGUGUCGGAGGAGUGCAUCCGUCGCCUGGAGGGUGGUCCAUAGCACCUGCUGGGAGACGAAGCGGAUGCUGACAUGGGGCGAGUGGCAGCGGGUCUGGGAGGACAUGGAUGACGCCGUCUCUGAGGAGCUCCAUCGCGGAACGACACACCCACGGAGGAAUAUCUGCGGGCACUCUUCCGCAUUUCCCUCCUCCGUGCUCGACCUGUGGAAUGCACGCAAGGCGUCGCUGCAGGGCAGACAUAGCGUGUACCGGCUCAUUCUGCUAGUGGCAUCGACUGCCGAGCGGACGGAUGCAGCGCAGGCAGCGGCGCAAGCAACCACGGCGCCUUCCGCUGCGAACGGCCCUCAGCUCCAAUUCGUCGACGCCGUGCUCCCCGGCGCGACGGGGAUGCCAGCGCCGCCCAGCGAUCCCUGGCCCGGAGAGCUUAACUUUCCAAAUCGUUAAAAUCAGCGCGUACACGGCAGACACAUGCACGAUGCAGACCGUCGUUGUCUUCCUCUCGACGAUCUACGGCGCCGCAUUCGACGGGCGCGACAUGACGCCACCAGAGAACCACAACACUGCGCUGGCCUUGGCGAGGGCUUUCGACAGCCUCCUCAACUCCGGCGUGGCUCUCGCGCGUGCUCACCCUCUGCAGCGCAAGUUCCCGGGACGAGCGGACGAUGGACCCCGUGGCCCUGAUGUGUUUAACCGCGAGGAGGAGCACGAGACGGGGGGAGGGGCACGGUAGGAAGGAGAGCACGCACCCGCAGAGCAGCAGGGUGCCGAGGUGCCUCGAUCACGUGUACACCAUCAGCAAAGUCGGGAGGCGGGGACGGCGGAAGCAGACAGAAGGGCCAAAGACGCCAAAUGAAGCGAGCGCAACCUUGCACGCCCCCUCUCACGGCGGACACCACAGUGUACGCCGCCGCACCGGAAUGUAAGCGUCGCGCAGCUUCGUAGCCCCCGGUCGCUUCCCGAGCCGUUGGCAGACAGGCAUGGUCUUCCGAUGGACCCGCACACGUGUGGUCGGAACCUCCAUGCUGUGCGGAAGCUGGACCAGUCGCACCACGGGCUGACGGUGCUGAAGACAGCCGAGAGCAACGGGUGCGUUGGUGCAACUCAACGCGACCCCUAUCCGUGUUGGGCGCCGCUGGCGGGGAGGGCCUAUCGGCUGGGAGCUGUGUCAGUGGGGUGAAGCGUUACGCCCAGAAGCGAUGCAAGCGGUGGCAGCACGAUUGGCUGGUGGCCCCCUGCAACGCCGCGCGACGUGCUAGGCAUGUGCAAGUCGAUGUGUGGGCAGGCCUUAUGCAGAUUGCAGGCACGUGUCGUGCCGUAAAGCAGGCAGCAGGGUCGGUGAUUCAGGCGGCAUGCCGGUUGAAGGUCACUGUCAACCGUGACGAAGCUGAGGUCGCCCCACCUCCCCUCCUCCUCAGGCAUGCGUUCGCAAGGGUUGUUCACGACAGCGAGGCGGGCGAUGUGUGUAAUGGAGGAAAGCCUAUCGGGGAGCGGCACAGGUGGGCUGCAGCGAGCACGCGGCGGCGCAGCAGGCCGCCGACGAUGACCGGUGCGGUGUACGGCCUCUGCACCGACGCGACAUUGGGCGGACGGGGAGCCGCGUGCAUGAAGCGGGCGGCAGAGCAAGCCGGCUUCACGGGCAUGCGAUGGGGCCACGGCCCCGCCGAGCGUUUAGGUGCGGCAGCGCACCGGGCGGUGCCUUCGCGCUCUUUGUGUGGAACUGCAAGGGCCGCCUGAUGCAUCGGCCCACCUUCAUGUGGGUAGCUCGUCUGCCAUCGCUGCUUUCUGAAAGGGCUGCUCACACAGUCAUGCAGUCAACGCGGAACUCCAUGACUGCAUGUCUCCCCUUCCAUGCGUGGCCCAUGGCCCGUUACACACAAGGCGGCGAAACGUCCACCGACAAGCCGAGCAGUGAUCCCGUCUAUUCAGUGCUAAGGGGCACGACUGGCGACACGGGGAGGUACGACAGGAAGCUGGAAGGGCGGGUGGCUCUGCACUCUCGUUCGUACGUAAGCACCGGCAUAUACGCGUACCGAUGUCCUUGUAACAAAGAAGCGCGCUACUUCUGCUAGUGUGGCCCUCUCGUCGUAGCUCACUCUCUCCCUCCCUCCCAACUCUCUCUCCCCCUCUCGACGGCGAAG
Molecule: unclassified non-coding RNA, 2680 nt
Filed under: Leishmania donovani
Lineage: Eukaryota; Euglenozoa; Kinetoplastea; Trypanosomatida; Trypanosomatidae
Description: gene:LdHU3.10.0820(CDS-product:hypothetical_prote in)
Source: RNAcentral